GAUGAACGCUGGCGGCGUGCCUAAUACAUGCAAGUCGAGCGAACGGACGAGAAGCUUGCUUCUCUGAUGUUAGCGGCGGACGGGUGAGUAACACGUGGAUAACCUACCUAUAAGACUGGGAUAACUUCGGGAAACCGGAGCUAAUACCGGAUAAUAUUUUGAACCGCAUGGUUCAAAAGUGAAAGACGGUCUUGCUGUCACUUAUAGAUGGAUCCGCGCUGCAUUAGCUAGUUGGUAAGGUAACGGCUUACCAAGGCAACGAUGCAUAGCCGACCUGAGAGGGUGAUCGGCCACACUGGAACUGAGACACGGUCCAGACUCCUACGGGAGGCAGCAGUAGGGAAUCUUCCGCAAUGGGCGAAAGCCUGACGGAGCAACGCCGCGUGAGUGAUGAAGGUCUUCGGAUCGUAAAACUCUGUUAUUAGGGAAGAACAUAUGUGUAAGUAACUGUGCACAUCUUGACGGUACCUAAUCAGAAAGCCACGGCUAACUACGUGCCAGCAGCCGCGGUAAUACGUAGGUGGCAAGCGUUAUCCGGAAUUAUUGGGCGUAAAGCGCGCGUAGGCGGUUUUUUAAGUCUGAUGUGAAAGCCCACGGCUCAACCGUGGAGGGUCAUUGGAAACUGGAAAACUUGAGUGCAGAAGAGGAAAGUGGAAUUCCAUGUGUAGCGGUGAAAUGCGCAGAGAUAUGGAGGAACACCAGUGGCGAAGGCGACUUUCUGGUCUGUAACUGACGCUGAUGUGCGAAAGCGUGGGGAUCAAACAGGAUUAGAUACCCUGGUAGUCCACGCCGUAAACGAUGAGUGCUAAGUGUUAGGGGGUUUCCGCCCCUUAGUGCUGCAGCUAACGCAUUAAGCACUCCGCCUGGGGAGUACGACCGCAAGGUUGAAACUCAAAGGAAUUGACGGGGACCCGCACAAGCGGUGGAGCAUGUGGUUUAAUUCGAAGCAACGCGAAGAACCUUACCAAAUCUUGACAUCCUUUGACAACUCUAGAGAUAGAGCCUUCCCCUUCGGGGGACAAAGUGACAGGUGGUGCAUGGUUGUCGUCAGCUCGUGUCGUGAGAUGUUGGGUUAAGUCCCGCAACGAGCGCAACCCUUAAGCUUAGUUGCCAUCAUUAAGUUGGGCACUCUAAGUUGACUGCCGGUGACAAACCGGAGGAAGGUGGGGAUGACGUCAAAUCAUCAUGCCCCUUAUGAUUUGGGCUACACACGUGCUACAAUGGACAAUACAAAGGGCAGCGAAACCGCGAGGUCAAGCAAAUCCCAUAAAGUUGUUCUCAGUUCGGAUUGUAGUCUGCAACUCGACUACAUGAAGCUGGAAUCGCUAGUAAUCGUAGAUCAGCAUGCUACGGUGAAUACGAUCGGGGGUCU
Molecule: ribosomal RNA, 1372 nt
Filed under: uncultured bacterium
Lineage: Bacteria
Description: bacterial SSU rRNA
Rfam family: Bacterial small subunit ribosomal RNA
Source: RNAcentral